UACAGGGAGGGCAAGCGUUGUUCGGAAUUACUGGGCGUAAAGGGCUCGUAGGCGGCUUUUCAAGUCGGGGGUGAAAGCCUGUGGCUCAACCACAGAAUUGCCUUCGAUACUGUUAGGCUUGAGACCGGAAGAGGUGAGUGGAACUGCGAGUGUAGAGGUGAAAUUCGUAGAUAUUCGCAAGAACACCAGUGGCGAAGGCGGCUCACUGGUCCGGUUCUGACGCUGAGGCGCGAAAGCGUGGGGAGCAAACAGG
RNAcentral lists this ribosomal RNA (253 nucleotides) under uncultured bacterium. Its description in RNAcentral is "partial 16S ribosomal RNA". It matches the Rfam family "Bacterial small subunit ribosomal RNA", at positions 524 to 776 of the family's 1533-position model. The record is from RNAcentral.